This 145-nucleotide ribosomal RNA is filed under the name uncultured bacterium. Its description in RNAcentral is "partial 16S ribosomal RNA". It matches the Rfam family "Bacterial small subunit ribosomal RNA", at positions 368 to 509 of the family's 1533-position model. The record is from RNAcentral.
UCAAUGGGCGAGAGCCUGAACCAGCCAAGUCGCGUGAGGGAAGACGGUCCUAUGGAUUGUAAACCUCUUUUUGCCGGGGAGCAAAGAGCGGCACGUGUGCCGCGCCGAGAGUACCCGGAGAAAAAGCAUCGGCUAACUCCGUGCC